Molecule: ribosomal RNA, 446 nt
Filed under: uncultured bacterium
Lineage: Bacteria
Description: partial 16S ribosomal RNA
Rfam family: Bacterial small subunit ribosomal RNA
Source: RNAcentral
CCUACGGGAGGCAGCAGUCGAGAAUCAUUCACAAUGGACGAAACUCUGAUGGUGCGACGCCGCGUGGGGGAAUGAAGGUCUUCGGAUUGUAAACCCCUUUCAUGUGGGAGCAAAUUAAUAAGAUAGUACCACAAGAGGAAGACACGGCUAACUCUGUGCCAGGAGCCGCGGUAAUACAGAGGUCUCAAGCGUUGUUCGGAAUCACUGGUCGUAAAGCGUGCGUAGGCGGGUUCGUAAGUCUGGUGUGAAAGGCGCGGGCUCAACCCGCGGACGGCACAUGAUACUGGGAGACUAGAGUAAUGGAGGGGGAACCGGAAUUCUCGGUGUAGCAGUGAAAUGCGUAGAUAUCGAGAGGAACACUCGUGGCGAAGGCGGGUUCCUGGACAUUAACUGACGCUGAGGCACGAAGGCGAGGGGAGCGAAAGGGAUUAGAUACCCUUGUAGUC